UGGGGAAUAUUGCACAAUGGGCGCAAGCCUGAUGCAGCCAUGCCGCGUGUAUGAAGAAGGCCUUCGGGUUGUAAAGUACUUUCAGCGGGGAGGAAGGGAGUAAAGUUAAUACCUUUGCUCAUUGACGUUAUCCGCAGAAGAAGCACCGGCUAACUCCGUGCCAGCAGCCGCGGUAAUACGGAGGGUGCAAGCGUUAAUCGGAAUUACUGGGCGUAAAGCGCACGCAGGCGGUUUGUUAAGUCAGAUGUGAAAUCCCCGGGCGCAACCUGAGAACCGCAUCUGAUACUGGCAAGCUUGAGUCUCGUAGAGGGGGGUAGAAUUCCAGGUGUAGCGGUGAAGUGCGUAGAGAUCUGGAGGAAUACCGGUGGCGAAGGCGGCCCCCUGGACGAAGACUGACGCUCAGGUGCGAAAGCGUGGGGAGCAAACAGG
This 429-nucleotide ribosomal RNA is filed under the name Fusobacteriota bacterium. RNAcentral describes it as "Fusobacteria bacterium partial 16S ribosomal RNA". It matches the Rfam family "Bacterial small subunit ribosomal RNA", at positions 355 to 776 of the family's 1533-position model. The record is from RNAcentral. Lineage: Bacteria; Fusobacteriati; Fusobacteriota.